ACCAGCGGAGGGAUCAUUACAGAGUUGCAAAACUCCCUAAACCAUUGUGAACGUUACCUUCAAACCGUUGCUUCGGCGGGCGGCCCGGGUCCGCCCGGUGCCCCCUGGCCCCCUAGCGGGGCGCCCGCCGGAGGAAACCCAACUCUUGAUUAUUAUGGCCUCUCUGAGUCUUCUGUACUGAAUAAGUCAAAACUUUCAACAACGGAUCUCUUGGUUCUGGCAUCGAUGAAGAACGCAGCGAAAUGCGAUAAGUAAUGUGAAUUGCAGAAUUCAGUGAAUCAUCGAAUCUUUGAACGCACAUUGCGCCCGCCAGUAUUCUGGCGGGCAUGCCUGUUCGAGCGUCAUUUCAACCAUCAAGCCCCAGGCUUGUGUUGGGGACCUGCGGCUGCCGCAGGCCCUGAAAACCAGUGGCGGGCUCGCUGUCACACCGGGCGUAGUAGAUUUUAUCUCGCUCAGGGCGUGCUGCGGGUUCCGGCCGUUAAAAAGCCUUUUUUACCCAAGGUUGACCUCGGAU
This 514-nucleotide ribosomal RNA is filed under the name Thielavia sp. S2-2. RNAcentral describes it as "eukaryotic LSU rRNA". The stretch from base 191 to 344 matches the Rfam family "5.8S ribosomal RNA". The record is from RNAcentral. Lineage: Eukaryota; Fungi; Ascomycota; Sordariomycetes; Coronophorales; Ceratostomataceae.